UGUCGCUGCCCUCCUUGGGCGUUUCCUCCCUUUGACUGGCCCGCCGGUGCAAACCGUGCGGGCCGUUCUUUUACGUGG
The sequence is a small RNA, 78 nucleotides long. It matches the Rfam family "Makes More Granules Regulator RNA (mmgR)". From Rfam's summary of the family: SuhB later renamed mmgR (makes more granules regulator) was a putative non-coding RNA found multiple times in the Agrobacterium tumefaciens genome and related alpha-proteobacteria.